Molecule: long non-coding RNA, 1364 nt
Filed under: Sparus aurata (gilthead seabream)
Lineage: Eukaryota; Metazoa; Chordata; Actinopteri; Spariformes; Sparidae
Description: lncRNA (ENSSAUG00010022196.1)
Source: RNAcentral
GAAGUACAUCGACUUCAAGGAAGUGACGCAGCUGCAGUGCAACUCCAAAGCCUCCAACAGCUUCAUGUGAGGUCAAUUAAUGUAUUCAGUGUUAUAAUUAACAGCCCAGUUUAUCUUGUGACACAUGGAUAUCAGCUGUACUGUGGCCGUGUUGUUUGCUAGCUAACAGAGAGCUAAAAGGUGAUUUAGCACCCCCACAGCAGCUGUAUAUUUAGACUUGCUAACUGUUUUGUGGUGAAUUUUAUCUUUAAACAUAAUGUAGGAGCAAAAUAAUAGAUGAGGGAAUUAUCUUAACUCACUGUUGUGUCUAUUUUAUUUCAAAAUACAGAUAUGUAUCAGGAAGCUGGCUGUCUACAUCCUGUUACAACAGAAAGUACAUCAACUUCAAGGAAGUGACGCAGCUGCAGUGUGACUCAAAAACCAUCAAGUCUUCAUGUGAGGAGAAGCCCUGUCGGAUCCAGAACCAGCGCUGAGGCUCUUUUCGCAGGUGAGGCUCUCUCAUGGAGGCAGUGUGUGAGCAGCUCCAUGGAGGUGGUGGUGGUGGUGAUGAGGAGGAGGAGGAGGAGCAGGCAGGAGCAGAGGAAGCCAUGCUGUGGUCCAUCCAGGAGGCUCUGGAGAGGCAGACCCUGCAGAUAGGAGCGUCAGCCUGCGGGGCCACAGCUGUGGUGGACGUGCUGAAGGCCCUCGGCGUGGACGUGGCCCCUGAGGAAGCAGACCGCUGCGUCCGGACACACCUGAGGAGGAACGAGUCACCGCUGCCGGACUACCUGCUGUCCCGGAGUGAAGCUGGUGCGACUCACGCUCAGCUCAUUGAAGGAGCAGAAGAGGCCAGUCAUGGGAAGGUGACAGGUCGCUUCUUCCACCUCCACCCCCGGCGUCUGGUCAGGCUGGUACCGUGGCUCGCCAGCUGGAUCCGAAAAGGCGCCGUUCCCGUGGCGACCAUGAACAUGCAGCUUGCCGUACCUGAGGGAGAGGAGGUGCCUGACGCCUGGCACCACCAGCUCAUAUUUGGUGUUGCAUCGAAUGCUGUUUUCAUGACCAAUCCUUUAGAUGUAGUGAGCGACCGAGAGUUGCACCAGAGACUCUGCAGCGAAUCGGUGCUGCUGAUUCGUCGAGAAGACGUUCUUCAGCGACUGACGCCGGACUGCAGCCUGUCAAGCUUAUCCGAGCAGCGGUGGAAAGCCCUGGACGUCGAGGGUCAAGUGAGACAGAUGCACCAAGAAGAGGAAGAGGAAGACGAUGGAGCCAAGUUAACACACAUCAGGAUCCCUGCAGCGUACAGUUCAGGCGUCACUUUCUUCGCCCUACGAGAAUCAGAGUUAGGACAAGAACUCCUCAGUGCUCCUGAACUACCUUGUUUGUGA